RNAcentral lists this long non-coding RNA (653 nucleotides) under Marmota monax (woodchuck). The record is from RNAcentral. Lineage: Eukaryota; Metazoa; Chordata; Mammalia; Rodentia; Sciuridae.
UGGGCCUGUCCCCAAAUAGCAGCAGCAGCUUCCUGGCUUUAUUGUAGGAAGGAAUGGAAACACCCUAGGCUGUACCUGACAGCUCUCCUUGGCUCACAGGUUAGGCCUUUCAGUGCUCAGCCCAGUGAGGAAAUAUCCCAACUCACUCCCUAUUUCUCCCUUCUCAUCUUGGUCUCCCAACUGAUGAGGGCCAGUGGAGCCCAGGAAAAGAUAGGCCACAUUUCCUAGUUGGAGAGCUGAACCUCAGUAGGGUAUCUGUUCUUGCAGAGCAAAACAUCCUUCUGUGAAGUAGCAGAUGCUGGAAGAAGGCACUGCUGAUGUCACACACUUCCAGAACUUCUGUUCAUGUUCAGGUGACAACCUUAACCCAUUGAAGUAAAAAAAAAAUAAUGACACCCCAAAAGAUGCUGCCUGGCAUACAACAGAGGUUGCCCAACGGAAGCUCUUUCAACAAGUCGGUUUAAUUCACUUGAACACCUUCUCUGUGGCAGGCACUUUGCUAGUCAGGGCUAGUCUUCCUCUCUGUUAGAUUUCCCACGAGUGGUACGUGUUGAUGUUUGGAGAUCCCUGGAUGAACGGCAAACCUGCCCUCGUGGGCUUAGAUUUUUAAACAGGGUAAAACAUGUCCACAAUCUGCUGACAGUACAAGGUAG